Molecule: ribosomal RNA, 338 nt
Filed under: uncultured Pelagophyceae
Lineage: Eukaryota; Pelagophyceae
Description: partial Bacterial small subunit ribosomal RNA
Rfam family: Bacterial small subunit ribosomal RNA
Source: RNAcentral
UCAACUCGGAGGAAGGUGGGGAUGACGUCAAAUCAUCAUGCCCCUUAUGUCUUGGGCUUCACGCAUGCUACAAUGGCCGGUACAGAGGGCUGCGAUACCGCGAGGUGGAGCGAAUCCCAAAAAGCCGGUCUCAGUUCGGAUUGGGGUCUGCAACUCGACCCCAUGAAGUCGGAGUCGCUAGUAAUCGCAGAUCAGCAACGCUGCGGUGAAUACGUUCCCGGGCCUUGUACACACCGCCCGUCAAGCCAUGGAAGCCGGGAGUGCCUGAAGUCCGUCACCGAGAGGAGCGGCCUAGGGCAAAAUCGGUAACUAGGGCUAAGUCGUAACAAGGUAGCCGU